RNAcentral lists this ribosomal RNA (488 nucleotides) under uncultured bacterium. RNAcentral's name for it is "bacterial SSU rRNA". It matches the Rfam family "Bacterial small subunit ribosomal RNA", at positions 173 to 677 of the family's 1533-position model. The record is from RNAcentral.
AUAAGCCCACGGUACCGCAUGGUACUGAGGGAAAAGGAUUUAUUCGCUUUAGGAUGGACUCGCGUCCAAUUAGCUAGUUGGUGAGGUAACGGCCCACCAAGGCGACGAUUGGUAGCCGGACUGAGAGGUUGAACGGCCACAUUGGGACUGAGACACGGCCCAGACUCCUACGGGAGGCAGCAGUGGGGGAUAUUGCACAAUGGGGGAAACCCUGAUGCAGCGACGCCGCGUGGAGGAAGAAGGUUUUCGGAUUGUAAACUCCUGUCGUUAGGGACGAUAAUGACGGUACCUAACAAGAAAGCACCGGCUAACUACGUGCCAGCAGCCGCGGUAAAACGUAGGGUGCAAGCGUUGUCCGGAAUUACUGGGUGUAAAGGGAGCGCANGCGGGAAGACAAGUUGGAAGUGAAAACCAUGGGCUCAACCCAUGAAUUGCUUUCAAAACUGUUUUUCUUGAGUAGUGCAGAGGUAGAUGGAAUUCCCGGUGUA